GACGAACGCUGGCGGCGUGCUUAACACAUGCAAGUCGAACGGAAAGGCCCUGCUUUUGUGGGGUGCUCGAGUGGCGAACGGGUGAGUAACACGUGAGUAACCUGCCCUUGACUUUGGGAUAACUUCAGGAAACUGGGGCUAAUACCGGAUAGGAGCUCCUGCUGCAUGGUGGGGGUUGGAAAGUUUCGGCGGUUGGGGCUGGACUCGCGGCUUAUCAGCUUGUUGGUGGGGUAGUGGCUUACCAAGGCUUUGACGGGUAGCCGGCCUGAGAGGGUGACCGGCCACAUUGGGACUGAGAGACGGCGCAGACUCCUACGGGAGGCAGCAGUGGGGAAUAUUGCAGAAUGGGCGGAAGCCUGAUGCAGCAGUGCCGCGUGCGGGAUGACGGCUUUCGGGGUGUAAACCGCUUUCGACUGUGACGAAGCGUGAGUGACGGUAAUGGGUAAAGAAGCACCGGCUAACUACGUG
This 468-nucleotide ribosomal RNA is filed under the name uncultured bacterium. RNAcentral's name for it is "partial 16S ribosomal RNA". It matches the Rfam family "Bacterial small subunit ribosomal RNA", at positions 28 to 507 of the family's 1533-position model. The record is from RNAcentral.